RNAcentral lists this ribosomal RNA (814 nucleotides) under Cellulomonas sp. Its description in RNAcentral is "bacterial SSU rRNA". It matches the Rfam family "Bacterial small subunit ribosomal RNA", at positions 68 to 885 of the family's 1533-position model. Lineage: Bacteria; Bacillati; Actinomycetota; Actinomycetes; Micrococcales; Cellulomonadaceae. The record is from RNAcentral.
GGUGACCUCGGAGCUUGCUCCGGGUGAUCAGUGGCGAACGGGUGAGAAACACGUGAGUAACCUGCCCCAGACUCUGGGAUAACCCCGAGAAAUCGGAGCUAAUACCGGAUACGAGACGCACGGGCAUCUGUAGCGUCUGGAAAGAAUUUCGGUCUGGGAUGGACUCGCGGCCUAUCAGCUUGUUGGUGAGGUAACGGCUCACCAAGGCGACGACGGGUAGCCGGCCUGAGAGGGCGACCGGCCACACUGGGACUGAGACACGGCCCAGACUCCUACGGGAGGCAGCAGUGGGGAAUAUUGCACAAUGGGCGCAAGCCUGAUGCACGACGCCGCCGUGGGGGAUGAAGGCCUUCGGGUUGUAAACCCCUUUCAGCAGGGAAGAAGCGAAAGUGACGGUACCUGCAGAAGAAGCGCCGGCUAACUACGUGCCAGCAGCCGCGGUAAUACGUAGGGCGCAAGCGUUGUCCGGAAUUAUUGGGCGUAAAGAGCUCGUAGGCGGUUUGUCGCGUCUGCUGUGAAAACCCGAGGCUCAACCUCGGGCCUGCAGUGGGUACGGGCAGACUAGAGUGCGGUAGGGGAGACUGGAAUUCCUGGUGUAGCGGUGGAAUGCGCAGAUAUCAGGAGGAACACCGAUGGCGAAGGCAGGUCUCUGGGCCGCAACUGACGCUGAGGAGCGAAAGCAUGGGGAGCGAACAGGAUUAGAUACCCUGGUAGUCCAUGCCGUAAACGUUGGGCACUAGGUGUGGGGGCUCAUUCCACGAAUUUCCGUGCCCCCAGCAAACGCAUUUAAGUGCCCCCGCCUGGGGGAGUACGG